AAACCAACAGGGAUUACCUCAGUAACGGCGAGUGAAGCGGUAACAGCUCAAAUUUGAAAUCUGGGUCUUUCAGGCUCCGAGUUGUAAUUUGUAGAAGAUGCUUCGGGUGCGGCUCCGGUCUAAGUUCCUUGGAACAGGACGUCAUAGAGGGUGAGAAUCCCGUAUGUGAUCGGUUGCUUGCGCCCAUGUGAAGCUCUUUCGACGAGUCGAGUUGUUUGGGAAUGCAGCUCAAAAUGGGUGGUAAAUUUCAUCUAAAGCUAAAUAUUGGCCAGAGACCGAUAGCGCACAAGUAGAGUGAUCGAAAGAUGAAAAGCACUUUGGAAAGAGAGUUAAACAGUACGUGAAAUUGUUGAAAGGGAAGCGCUUGCAACCAGACUUGCGCGUUGCCGAUCAUCCGGGGUUCUCCCCGGUGCACUCGGCCUCGCUCAGGCCAGCAUCGGUUUUGGUGGUGGGAUAAAGGCCUUGGGAAUGUAGCUCCUUUCGGGGAGUGUUAUAGCCCUCGGUGCAAUGCCGCCUACCGGGACCGAGGACCGCGCUCGGCUAGGA
RNAcentral lists this ribosomal RNA (546 nucleotides) under uncultured fungus. RNAcentral describes it as "eukaryotic LSU rRNA". It matches the Rfam family "Eukaryotic large subunit ribosomal RNA", at positions 62 to 611 of the family's 3401-position model. The record is from RNAcentral. Lineage: Eukaryota; Fungi.